UACAGGGGGUGCAAACGUUGCUCGGAAUUAUUGGGCGUAAAGCGCGCGUAGGCGGCUACUUAAGUCGGAUGUGAAAGCCCUUGGCUCAACUGAGGAAGUGCACCCGAAACUGAGUGGCUAGAGUACGAAAGAGGGUCGCGGAAUUCCCGGUGUAGAGGUGAAAUUCGUAGAUAUCGGGAGGAACACCAGUGGCGAAGGCGGCGAUCUGGGUCGAUACUGACGCUGAGGUGCGAAAGCGUGGGGAGCAAACAGG
This 253-nucleotide ribosomal RNA is filed under the name uncultured bacterium. RNAcentral describes it as "partial 16S ribosomal RNA". It matches the Rfam family "Bacterial small subunit ribosomal RNA", at positions 524 to 776 of the family's 1533-position model. The record is from RNAcentral.